UCUAACUCUCGCUUGCGCCUCCUUUCCCCCACGCCUCUUUCUCUCAAAUCUCCCUUCUCUCUCGCCUCUGCCGGAAACGGCCGCCACCGCCGGCACCGAUCAGCCGCCGGCCCUCCGGCCAUCUCUCCCUUCUUCCCUUCUCUCCUUCUUUCCUCUCUUCUCACUCUCUCUUUCGGUCUCCCUCUCAGCCAGCACCGCCGCCGGCUGGAAACUGCCGCUGCUGUCGUCGGGCUGCCGCCGCCGCAGCGCCGGCCGCCGUCGCCGUCGUCGCUCGGGAGAAAUUAAGAGGGGUUGAAAAGGAGCCAAGAAGUGUCGUUGUUUGCCGGAUUUCGCCACCACCGCCGGAUGCUGUCGCCGCCGCCGACCCGGCGCUGCCGCUGUUGCUGACAGAGGACAGAAACUCCAGCCAGGUGAAUUUCUUACCGAGUGAUCUUGAAUGUGGCGACAAGAUACAUAAGGCUCCUCUCCUCUCAUUCUUCAUAAUCAUCAUGGUGUUGGGGACUUUGUUCCUCUGAUUCUAAUUAACUCACUGUUGGAGCAUGCAUGGGGAGGGAUUGUUCUUGCAAGAUUUUGAAUGAUGAUAAUGCGUGUGUGCUUUGGUGUCACCACAAAGAGAAUGGCGUCAAAGUUGUUGAACCAACCUGAAAUGCCCCGCAAGAGGUCCCCUCUUCUGCUUGAAAUUACUAAUUGGGCUCGAGGUAGCACUACUAGUCCAAACCAUUGAAGGGGAAACAAAUAAACAAAUUUCUGUUAGGAGAAAGCAUAGAGACGGCGCUGUGCCACUUUUUUUAUGCUAGCCUUUAUGCGCAAGGUCAAAUGAGCCCUUUAUGCAAACCAGGCCACUUUUCACAUUCACAACGCUUUUAUGAGUUUUCUAGAGAAUCGGUCCACCCAGAGCUCAAAUGCAUUUCCAAUUCCCCGCUUCGUCAGGAAUAAGUGGUAGCAUUUACUCAUCUAGCCUUGUUAGCAUUGGAAUUGGUGCUAUGCCCUAAACACCGGAAAUUGGCUCUGAUGAUAUAGAACCUGUUGGAUCCCAGAUUCCUUCUAGUUCCUUCAUCUCACAUUUCAAUUGGCGAAGGUCCACAAACUCCUGAAAACGACAUCAUUCCUUCAUUCUCUUUUGCUUUGGCUAGCUACUAAUGGAACCUUCCAGUUGUGCAAAAGAAACUGGAAAUGCUGCAUAUCCUACUAAUGCAACUCUGUCUUCCUAGCAUCUUGGGACUAAUGUCUCUGAGCCAUUUAUGUACCAUACUAUCUCAGAGAAGGAGUUGAGGAGGAGCUAACUUCUAAAGGGGUUAUUAGUGUAGACUUCGUUUUUCUCAAGGGUUGAUCUGCAAACUUAGUUGUUGCUUACUAACUUCUGAAGUCCUAGGUUUCCCGUGCUUCAAAUAAGUGAUAACAGUGUUCUUUGUUGCCCGAUUUCUUGAGCUAAGGAGAGAGAACUAUUCCGGUUUUGAAAAAUUAAUUUAAAAAGCCAUAGGGCCGAUCGACUGAAUGAGAGCUUUAUGAGUUGCAAUCUUGUUGAUAUUGGUGCAUAAAGAUGAUUUAGGCAAUAUGAAUAAAGACCUCAUAUCCAAAUUAUCACAUGCCUGACCUUGCAUAAACCCCUAGUAAGCCAAUUUGAGCCCCAAAAGCCUAAUUUCUUUGUUGAAUAUUUUGAAGUCCUUAUAUCUGCUUACCUAUUAUAUCCAUUUGUUGGCCUAUAUUUUCUACCCUAGUCACUAAAAUUAAAGUGCUAGCACAUUCUUGGGAGGGUAUUAUGGUGGCAAGAAAAAGAUGGAGGUUUUGUACCAUUCAUUAGGUGGUAUUUAUUUAUACUGAGAUACAAAGGGAGUGAAUAGCUGUCCCCUUCAAACGAAAAUAGAAUAAAAAGGCAGCCUUUCAUGAGUAAAAAAAAAA
This is a long non-coding RNA of Salvia splendens (bonfire salvia), 1899 nucleotides long. RefSeq lists it as uncharacterized. The transcript has 8 exons. Lineage: Eukaryota; Viridiplantae; Streptophyta; Magnoliopsida; Lamiales; Lamiaceae. The record is from RefSeq and is a predicted model, not a curated record.